This is a long non-coding RNA of Passer domesticus (house sparrow), 758 nucleotides long. RefSeq lists it as uncharacterized. Lineage: Eukaryota; Metazoa; Chordata; Aves; Passeriformes; Passeridae. The record is from RefSeq and is a predicted model, not a curated record. The transcript is spliced from 4 exons.
GCUGCUGCAAACAGUUAUGGGCAUGUAUGAAUUAACAGUGGAACAUAGAAAGCUGGAAUUUCUUGCACUGGCUGUCAUUUUGUAGAAUAUUCCUGAUACUCCAGGCUUCACUCUGAUUUUGCUUUGAGGUGUUUUCUGUGUUUGUUCACCCAGCAGAUUCUGAAGCCAGGUUAACCAAGAAUAGUUCUUGUAGUUUUGAAGUAGAGGUUCAACAUCAUGACAAGUAUCAUUGUUAAUCACUACUUUCUUUGAUGCAAAAACCUGAGAUGGAGUAAAGAUUUCCUUUGCAGACUGUUUUGCUACUGAAAUCACUACUGAUAUAAAAGACAAUUUUAAAGAUUUCCUGUUACCAGCACUUGUUGGUCAAGGUUUCCACCACUGCUGGGUCAAAAGUAACAUUGUGAUGCUCUGGAAAUUCUGGGAAAAGGGAAAAAAAAAAAAAGAAAGUGCUGAUCUGCAGGCUCACUUAAGAUCAGUUGCUGCCUUUCUGACCCUUGUAGCUACCAGACUUCUGAAAUGUACUCCCAGACAGGAAUCUCUGAACUUUAAGUCCUCCACGGCAGCCCAGCUGCAGCACAGCAACCCCACGCUUAUGCCAUGGUGGGAGCUGGUCAGAUACUGUGAGCUCAUCCUUAACAGCAGAGAGUAACCAGUAGUGACUGCCUUGAAGAUGCACACAGGAAAGUUGUCACAACCUGCCACAGGCAUACAAAAUACCUGUAAGGUCAGCAAUAUGUGUCUAGUGCAGAAUGGGUGUA